Molecule: long non-coding RNA, 528 nt
Filed under: Salvia miltiorrhiza (redroot sage)
Lineage: Eukaryota; Viridiplantae; Streptophyta; Magnoliopsida; Lamiales; Lamiaceae
Description: long non-coding RNA (SMIL_LNC001380)
Source: RNAcentral
CGCCACAGUGGGCUCGAACCCAAGAGACAUUAACCCCUAAUCGUUUAACUUAUACACACACUACAUCCUUUAAUUUUGAUGCAAAACUAUGUUAGCCGUUAAUCGCACUGGCGAAUGAUCUGGAUUUGAUAAAACUUCAGUCUUCACAGCUUUUGAUUCUUGUUGUGCGUGUUAGUGUGGCGUGAGUUCAGUCGGGGCUAGGAGGGGUUGAAGCAGGGAGAGCGGCGACAGAGGCUGAAGGGCUGCUGCUGUCCGGAUCGAAGGAGAAGGGGGCGGCAAUUUUGCUGUUCGCCGUGGAAUAGAGAGGGAGACGGGAUCGUUGAUGGUGAGAAUCGGGAAGGCGGCGGAGGCUGCUGCCCGUUCCGAUGAGAGAACGAGGCAGAUGGAGGCGGUGGAGGGCGGCUGGGCGGCAGUGACAGUGAGCAUGAGGACUGAUGCUGUUGUCGUCGGAUGUGAGUGGGCGGCGAUUCUCGCCGCGAAUCGAGGGUGAAGCGGCGGCAGCCGUCGGCUGUUGUCGAGUGACAGGAA